This 1347-nucleotide ribosomal RNA is filed under the name uncultured bacterium. Its description in RNAcentral is "partial 16S ribosomal RNA". It matches the Rfam family "Bacterial small subunit ribosomal RNA", at positions 28 to 1381 of the family's 1533-position model. The record is from RNAcentral.
GACGAACGCUGGCGGCGUGCUUAACACAUGCAAGUCGAACGGAAAGGCCCUGCUUUUGUGGGGUGCUCGAGUGGCGAACGGGUGAGUAACACGUGAGUAACCUGCCCUUGACUUUGGGAUAACUUCAGGAAACUGGGGCUAAUACCGGAUAGGAGCUCCUGCUGCAUGGUGGGGGUUGGAAAGUUUCGGCGGUUGGGGAUGGACUCGCGGCUUAUCAGCUUGUUGGUGGGGUAGUGGCUUACCAAGGCUUUGACGGGUAGCCGGCCUGAGAGGGUGACCGGCCACAUUGGGACUGAGAUACGGCCCAGACUCCUACGGGAGGCAGCAGUGGGGAAUAUUGCACAAUGGGCGGAAGCCUGAUGCAGCAACGCCGCGUGCGGGAUGACGGCCUUCGGGUUGUAAACCGCUUUCGCCUGUGACGAAGCGUGAGUGACGGUAAUGGGUAAAGAAGCACCGGCUAACUACGUGCCACCAGCCGCGGUGAUACGUACGGUGCGAGCGUUGUCCGGAUUUAUUGGGCGUAAAGGGCUCGUAGGUGGUUGAUCGCGUCGGAAGUGUAAUCUUGGGGCUUAACCCUGAGCGUGCUUUCGAUACGGGUUGACUUGAGGAAGGUAGGGGAGAAAUGGAAUUCCUGGUGGAGCGGUGGAAUGCGCAGAUAUCAGGAGGAACACCAGUGGCGAAGGCGGUUCUCUGGGCCUUUCCUGACGCUGAGGAGCGAAAGCGUGGGGAGCGAACAGGCUUAGAUACCCUGGUAGUCCACGCUGUAAACGGUGGGUACUAGGUGUGGGGUCCAUUCCACGGGUUCCGUGCCGUAGCUAACGCUUUAAGUACCCCGCCUGGGGAGUACGGCCGCAAGGCUAAAACUCAAAGGAAUUGACGGGGCCCCGCACAAGCGGCGGAGCAUGCGGAUUAAUUCGAUGCAACGCGUAGAACCUUACCUGGGUUUGACAUGGAUCGGGAGUGCUCAGAGAUGGGUGUGCCUCUUUUGGGGUCGGUUCACAGGUGGUGCAUGGCUGUCGUCAGCUCGUGUCGUGAGAUGUUGGGUUAAGUCCCGCAGCGAGCGCAACCCUUGUUCACUGUUGCCAGCACGUUAUGGUGGGGACUCAGUGGAGACCGCCGGGGUCAACUCGGAGGAAGGUGGGGAUGACGUCAAGUCAUCAUGCCCCUUAUGUCCAGGGCUUCACGCAUGCUACAAUGGCUGGUACAGAGAGUGGCGAGCCUGUGAGGGUGAGCGAAUCUCGGAAAGCCGGUCUCAGUUCGGAUUGGGGUCUGCAACUCGACCUCAUGAAGUCGGAGUCGCUAGUAAUCGCAGAUCAGCAACGCUGCGGUGAAUACGUUCCCGGGGCU